RNAcentral lists this non-coding RNA (24 nucleotides) under Arabidopsis thaliana (thale cress). The record is from RNAcentral. Lineage: Eukaryota; Viridiplantae; Streptophyta; Magnoliopsida; Brassicales; Brassicaceae.
UAUAGCAGGUGGCGAGAUAGCCUG